Molecule: long non-coding RNA, 1807 nt
Organism: Alligator mississippiensis (American alligator)
Lineage: Eukaryota; Metazoa; Chordata; Crocodylia; Alligatoridae
Exons: 3
Source: RefSeq, a predicted model, not a curated record
UGACCGUCGGACCUUGAGCACCCGGUCUCGAGUGGCUUUGCCUUGAAUGUUGUAUGGUGUUCGACUUGCCCACCCUAGUUGUUGUCCACGCAGUUGUUCCCUCCUGAGUUGGUUUGCCUGUAUCUCUCCUGCCACGACUUUGAGUAUUCUCAGUGGGGGCUGCCUCCUCAAGGUCACUCGGCUUGGUGUAGUCUGCCUGGUGGUCACUUAAGGAGCUCCACCACCCCUACACCCCAUCCUUACUCUGCCGUGCCGAUGGUAUGGGCCACAUUACUUCCUUUUUUGAUGGAGAGGAGUAUCCAAGCUAAUCCGUGGUCAGGACCUUUUCUUCUAUGACAAUCGGAAUAAUCUCCAUGCGAUCAAUGAGUAUUAUGGCCUUCUGGCCUAUAUCCAAAGGGAAUUCCCAGGUUCCAGCCCUCAUGAUACCCAGGUAUCCUAGUCCCCUUUUCCUUCCCUUCUCAACCCCUUCAUUCAGGGCAAAAUAAAAAGAAAUAUCACAACCCUGUUGCUAUCCAGGGCUUUAAGCUCUUUUUUACUCCACAACCCCUUCACUCAGGGAAACAAAAUCAAACGUGCAACAAAAAGGAAAAAGGCUAACUUUGAGUCAGACCGAGACUCCUGGUAGUCCCCUAUCUGUGUCUCUGGGGUCCUCACUCCCUUGAGGCUUCUCCUCCUAGUUAUGGCUCCCAAGUUGUCCCCCGUUGUCUUCUCCCUCUGGACCAGCCAGAACCGGGUGUCUCGGGUACUCCCCAUCUGUCUCUAUUUUUCUUCUGGCUUCAGGGCCACCGCCCUGCUCUUCCCGCAUCCCCCCUGUGGCUCUUCUUCAGACCUUCCUCACAUGGUUGUCUCUUCCUCCUCCCCUUCUUUCUCCCCGGCUCCCACCUGAUACUCUGUAGACUGCCACAGGCUUGUCCCUCCUUUCUUCACUCUUAUAGCCUCUGCCAUCGGCAGAGACUGUUUCUAAUUCUUCUAAGGAGCUGCCAGUGUAUUCCCUGCUGUCGCUGGCAAGCUCCCCUUCAGGGGCCUCCUCGGGCUCCCUUUCUGAGGCUUCGUAUUCCCUGAGCCCCUCCGCGUGUGCGUUAGCCUCCCGCACACUUCUCCCGCUCUCUCCUCCUCCCUUCUAGCUGCCGGUCGUCCUCUUUAUCUUUGCCAGCCAGCGUUUGUUGAUGACGUCACCUGCCAGUCUUAAUUGAAAAAAGAUGUGGCUGAUGAGUUGCAUGGGUUCUCCUCCUUGCCCCGGUUCCGUUGCUGCUCCUGCUGCGGCCAGCGAUGAGAAGACACAUGGAAGAGGUUCUGGCUCUCAUUGGUUCCAGAGAGGGAAACCCAGAAGUUAAACACAGGCUGAGCUACAGAUUCAGUUGCCCUGGAGAAGGAAUGCACAGGGGAACAGAAGACCAUUCAAGCUGCACAGAGGCAUGGCAGAUUAGCAGGAUUAAUUAGAGUAUCAAGAAACAGUCCACUAGCAAGGAAAAGGAGAUAUACAUACCUUGGACUACAGGGUGUCACAGGAUUCCUUCAGUGAGGGAUGAGAAGACUGUGAUCUGUGAAAUCUUGAUGGUAUGCGGUAUGUUGCAAAGGAUUUUACUAAAGGCACUGGAACUGACCUGUGCAACGCAUGAACAGGGAUUCUGGUUUUCUCUGGUAAAAAAAGUGCGAAUUCUCUGAUAAAAAAUCACAACUUCUCUAAUGAAAACCCUGAAAAUCCACGUUUUUCAGUGAUUAAAUUGAAACUCCACUAUAUAUAUAUAUAGUUAUUAAUUGAACACAAUGUUUUAUUGAUAUAGUUACAAAUUUUAAACAAUUUGGA